RNAcentral lists this ribosomal RNA (373 nucleotides) under uncultured bacterium. Its description in RNAcentral is "bacterial SSU rRNA". It matches the Rfam family "Bacterial small subunit ribosomal RNA", at positions 525 to 896 of the family's 1533-position model. The record is from RNAcentral.
ACGAGGGGGGCGAGCGUUGUUCGGAAUUAUUGGGCGUAAAGGGUGCGUAGGCGGUUUGGUAAGUCUGAUGUGAAAUCUAUGGGCUCAACUCAUAGUCUGCAUCGGAAACUGCCGGGCUUGAGUAUGGGAGAGGUGAGUGGAAUUCCUGGUGUAGCGGUGAAAUGCGUAGAUAUCAGGAGGAACACCUGUGGCGAAAGCGGCUCACUGGACCAUAACUGACGCUGAUGCACGAAAGCUAGGGGAGCAAACAGGAUUAGAUACCCUGGUAGUCCUAGCCCUAAACGAUGAUCGCUUGGUGUGACGGGUACCCAAUCCCGCCGUGCCGUAGCUAACGCGUUAAGCGAUCCGCCUGGGGAGUACGGUCGCAAGGCUG